RNAcentral lists this ribosomal RNA (367 nucleotides) under uncultured bacterium. RNAcentral's name for it is "bacterial SSU rRNA". It matches the Rfam family "Bacterial small subunit ribosomal RNA", at positions 64 to 477 of the family's 1533-position model. The record is from RNAcentral.
GAGCGCCGUAGCAAUACGGAGCGGCAGACGGGAGAGUAACACGUGGGAACGUACCCUUUGGUUCGGAACAACCCAGGGAAACUUGGGCUAAUACCGGAUAAGCCCUCACGGGGAAAGAUUCAUCGCCGAAGGAUCGGCCCGCGUCUGAUUAGCUAGUUGGUGGGGUAAUGGCCCACCAAGGCGACGAUCAGUAGCUGGUCUGAGAGGAUGAUCAACCUCACUGGGACUGAGACACGGCCCAGACUCCUACGGGAGGCAGCAGUGGGGAAUAUUGGACAAUGGGCGCAAGCCUGAUCCAGCCAUGCCGCGUGGGUGAUGAAGGCCCUAGGGUUGUAAAGCCCUUUCGGCGGGGAAGAUAAUGACGGUA